GGCAAAAGGUUUUACCUGCUGCGAAUGUGCUAACAUAAUAAUACAGUUUGGCUAAAAUACACAAUGAAGACGUUUGGUGAUUAGUACAAACUCUAUAAAGUCAAAACAUUUUAUGUCUUAUUAACAUCAUGGAUUUGUUAGAGGCUUUCAAAUAAAAUGUGAUCGGUUUCAACUAAGCUGCCCCCUACUGGCGGAGGAGAGGUACUGUCGUGUUUUAGACCAGAGGAAGCUUUUAAAAACAGAGAAAUAUCUGUUUUCAAAAAUAUGUAUAUUGAAAAAUUAUAGCUGGGGCAUGGGUUCUCUUUUGGUGUUUCCAUUAAAUAAGAAAUGCAAUUAAAAAUCACAUGUGAAUAAGUUUGUUCACAUGAUAAUUCAUUAAAAAAAACACAGCGGGGGGCCAUCUUCCUCCAGCUACUUCCUGUGGUCUUCUUCUUCAUGGUUUGCACCAGUGGCAAUGUCCGAUCAUGUGACCCUUU
Xiphophorus hellerii (green swordtail) is the source of this 476-nucleotide long non-coding RNA. RefSeq lists it as uncharacterized. The record is from RefSeq and is a predicted model, not a curated record. NCBI's taxonomy places the organism in Eukaryota, Metazoa, Chordata, Actinopteri, Cyprinodontiformes, Poeciliidae. The transcript has 3 exons.